GCGUCUGUAGCUCAGCGGUAGAGCGCCAUUCUUAUAAAAUGGAUGUCGAUGGUUCGAUUCCAUCCAGACGCACUA
RNAcentral lists this transfer RNA (75 nucleotides) under Candidatus Pacebacteria bacterium CG10_big_fil_rev_8_21_14_0_10_40_26. RNAcentral's name for it is "tRNA-Ile". It matches the Rfam family "tRNA". From Rfam's summary of the family: Transfer RNA (tRNA) molecules are approximately 80 nucleotides in length. RNAcentral also lists the same sequence under 2 other names. The record is from RNAcentral. Lineage: Bacteria; Bacillati; Minisyncoccota.